Ictidomys tridecemlineatus (thirteen-lined ground squirrel) is the source of this 3207-nucleotide long non-coding RNA. RefSeq lists it as uncharacterized. The record is from RefSeq and is a predicted model, not a curated record. NCBI's taxonomy places the organism in Eukaryota, Metazoa, Chordata, Mammalia, Rodentia, Sciuridae.
GCCAUGUGUGAGCCUUGGCAGGGGCGAAGCUGGGUAAUAGGGCAACUUUUUUUUUUUGGCAUAGAGCUGUUAGUUUAAAGCUGGGGAAAAAAGGGAUAAAUAAAACUUGAUACAGUCAUUCUAGAAAGGAUUUGCAUGGGUCCAGAAAAGGGUCAAGUUCAAUGGCGGAACCCAGAAGAGACCCUGAGAAGAUGAGGUCCGGGGCCGUUGUCCACCCUGGCAGACGCACGCCAGGACUCAGGGCCACCGCUCUUCCGUUGUCAUCGUAACCUCUCGGACAGAACCCGCCGUUGAAAGACAGUAGACGCUGCUCCGCGGACAAGUUUAUGACCCAGUUUCUGACCAAGAGCACUCGGGGGGACGGGCAGCAAGGGCGUAGAACUCAGCUCGGGGCUAAUUAGAACCCAGACGCGAAGCAGCAGCUGUUCUUCGGGGUGAACUUUUGCAGGGAGGAUUUCAAGAGGCUGAUUCUUCUUGGAAGUCUGUUUGCAGAGCGGUUCUUUCCUGGCUGUGGCCCAUCCUCCUUUGGAGGCCAAGUUUCACUCAGUGGGAGCCUGUGCCAACCCGGGCCUUGACCUUGAGGCUCUGGGGCUGCCCGCUGCGCUUGACCCUGCAGCCUGGAGGGUGUCGGGCCGAGCAGAACCGGGAGGGAGGAGGGUCAGGGAGGAGGGUCCUCUACAGGCUCCAGGGGGCUUCCCCCUUCAGUCUGGAGCUGAGGAAGAGAAGUGAAGGGCAUGUUGGGGACAGAGAGAGAGAGAGGGAGUGCGUGUGUGAGUGUGUGUGAGUGUGUGUGUGUGUGUUUCUCCUGCCCAUUUCCUCCCUCAUAAACCCUGGGCGGGCCCCUGCCUCCCCCCAGCUUUCCCGUGAACUCCUGGACCCGCUCGCCCUCUCCUCUGCACUCUGUGAGAGCUGAGCUGGUUUCUCCUUCCCUGUAGGAUGUGAGAACGUAUUUUUCAGGGAAAAUUGUGAGAAGCGAAUUAAGAGCGAUCUGGAGUUCACGCAUGACACAGGCUGCAGGACACGUGAAAUCUACGUGCAAAGAGCUCUUUAAAUGGGUGAGGAAAAGAAACCCCUAAUGUCCACUCUUAGAGAGAGAAUCAGGUGUCCCUCGCGAGCGCUUUGCUCUUCACGGUGACGCGUGGCUGCCUGGAACGGCCAAGCUGCCCUGGCCGCGGUGCUGAGGUGCUUCCUGCUUCCCCGCGUGGUUGGUGUGUCACCCAGGUUGGUGACUUCAGCUGAGGGUCUCACCCUGCCUCUGCCUCUUCACGUGCCACCGAAGGAAAGGGAAACGGAGACUAUUGGAAAGGGUCCUCCUUCCCGCCUUCCCGCCUCCUCAGUCCUAAAGGUGUAUGUACUGCAAGUCAGACCCUGUGGUGGAAGUCUCUCCCUCCCGUUUGUUUCCCAGUCUCCAAAGGUUAGGGGGAAAGAAGUCUCUGAAAUGCUGUGCUUUCUCCAGUGACAACAUGUGUGGCACAAGGAAUGCGCUAGGAGGAGAAAGAUGCUCCUUAACUUACAGUGGGGCUACGUGUCGAGAAAACCCAUCAUCGGUUGGAACUAUAUUAAGUGAAAGAUUCAUUCCGUGCCCUGGACCCACUGCACAUCACGGCUCCGCCUCAGGGCACACUGCCUGUCUCCCUCCUGAUCCUGCUGUGGUCUGGGACGUGUGUCUCCCGGACCCAGGAAGCCGUCCAAGUUGUACAAUCUGAAGGGCAGUUUGGGCUGGAUGCACUUGGCUUUCACGUCAUCUGCCAGAAGUCACAAGUGGCACCAGGAGCUCGGGGACCAUGGCUCUCUGUCUCUUGCCCCUGUGCCUUACCUUAUCUCUCCUCUGUAUUGGCAUCACCUCUCUUCCGCGACUCCGUUCCUAAAUCCUCUCAAGGGCCCAUGUCAGUCAGCAUCUCGGAUUCUGCCUCCUGUAAUGCCCUUGAUUUCCAGUGAUGCUUUACGAGGCCCAAACCCUCCCACGUGGCCUCGCUAGCUAAGCUCCGGCCUAUCAACUAGACCCUGAUCUUCUUCCUUCGUGGUGGCCAGUGACUGUCCGGGCUGGAUAGACACAUUCUGGGUGGAACCUACUGUACUUUCCCUGGAAGGGAGUUGAAGAAGCCAAUUGUUAACUGGACACGUUGCAUAACUGCCACCCGCUGAAACGUAUCAGAAGAAGCAGGCUGGAAAGGGAGCUCUGGAGGACGUUGUCUGUGGCCUGUAGACAGGACACGCAGUUUUGAGUGCUGGUAGGGUGUGAUGCCGUCUGUCAGCCACGUCCCAAGAGCAGGAGGGACUUGAAGACCAGCAAGGCGCUUCCUUUGUGGUCACUCUUUCUCAGGAAGAAAUGCAGCCUAGAGAAGCUGUGGUGGACCCAGGGACCAGAGAGGUUGCUGGAGAGGAGAGGGAGGGGCAUGUUCUCAAGUCCAGCUGGUCCUGUGAGUCACUUGACAUCAUCUGUGACAUGGGGACACCUCACGGGGUUGUCGGCAGUUUACUCUGGGCGUGAUUGGGCGACCCCUGCCAGACUGCUUGUGACCUGCAGGCUGGGUGGCGACGACCGCAGAGCGGGUUCCCGCAUGGACCUUGGUCUUGGCUCCCUCUGUCCUUGAACCUCUCCGAAGGAGGUAGCUGGCCUUGUUGAAGGAAGUGAGGGUGCUGUGAUCUUCUCCCUAAAAACUUGGCUUGAGUCCUAGGUUCAAACUCUGCUUUGUACCCUGACCACCCGGGGACUGACUGAGGGGCCCAGCCAGGGCUGCCGGCCACCUUCACCGUGUCCACCAUGAUUAACAGACCAGUGGUGGAUCGUAAACCCACGUCCUGGGUCCCCAUCACCUCCGGCUUCCUGACACCCUACCUAUGUGGUCUUAUGACUUGCAAACAGCCGAGGAGAUUUCUGAAGGAAGAGCCAUCCCUUGUAAAUGUUAGAAACACACACACAUCCCAGAGGUCUGCAGGUGCUUGUGGACAGCAGGGAAGCCGAGCCCCUGCCCUGGUCACUCUUGCAGUCCCUGGCGGGCCCAGUGGACAGUUUGUUUCCUUCUGGCCUCUGGUUGGACUUGAUGCUGAACAGCACGUUGCGGGUGGGGACUGGGUCGCCGUGCUGGGCCCCCGGCUGCACCGCCCCUCCUACCUGAGACCUUUGUUAACUCUGUUUCGUCUUUAAGGAAAGUCUGUGUUCAUCAGGAUACAGAAAGGAGGAGAGCACUAUUCUGUGUCUGCCGA